UACAGAGGGUGCGAGCGUUAAUCGGAUUUACUGGGCGUAAAGCGUACGUAGGCGGCUUUUUAAGUCGGAUGUGAAAUCCCUGAGCUUAACUUAGGAAUUGCAUUCGAUACUGGGAAGCUAGAGUACGGCAGAGGGGGGUGGAAUUCCGCGUGUAGCAGUGAAAUGCGUAGAUAUCUGGAGGAAUACCGAUGGCGAAGGCAGCCAUCUGGCCUAAUACUGACGCUGAGGUACGAAAGCAUGGGGAGCAAACAGG
RNAcentral lists this ribosomal RNA (253 nucleotides) under uncultured Acinetobacter sp. Its description in RNAcentral is "partial 16S ribosomal RNA". It matches the Rfam family "Bacterial small subunit ribosomal RNA", at positions 524 to 776 of the family's 1533-position model. The record is from RNAcentral. Lineage: Bacteria; Pseudomonadati; Pseudomonadota; Gammaproteobacteria; Moraxellales; Moraxellaceae.